Molecule: ribosomal RNA, 459 nt
Filed under: uncultured delta proteobacterium
Lineage: Bacteria; Deltaproteobacteria
Description: bacterial SSU rRNA
Rfam family: Bacterial small subunit ribosomal RNA
Source: RNAcentral
AACGAACGCUAGCGGCGUACCUAACACAUGCAAGUCGAACGAGAAAGUUCCUUCGGGAGCGAGUAGAGUGGCGAACGGGUGAGUAACGCGUAGGUAAUCAACCCUCCAGCGGGGGACAACAUUUCGAAAGGAAUGCUAAUACCGCAUACAGUCUUGGAUCAUGAGGUCUAAGAGCAAAGGCUUCGGCCACUGGAGGACGAGCCUGCGUCCCAUUAGCUAGUUGGUAAGGUAACGGCUUACCAAGGCUACGAUGGGUAGCUGGUUUGAGAGAACGAUCAGCCACACUGGAACUGACACACGGUCCAGACUCCUACGGGAGGCAGCAGUGGGGAAUUUUGCGCAAUGGGGGAAACCCUGACGCAGUGACGCCGCGUGUGUGAUGAAGGCUUUCGGGUCGUAAAGCACUGUCAGCAGGGAACAUAAUGAGCGUACCUGCAGAGGAAGCACCGGCUAACUCUG